This is a long non-coding RNA of Equus caballus (horse), 482 nucleotides long. The record is from Ensembl. NCBI's taxonomy places the organism in Eukaryota, Metazoa, Chordata, Mammalia, Perissodactyla, Equidae.
GCAACAGGCACUUAUGUGACGUCGGAAAGCGGAGGAGCAGAAGCUGUUCUCCCAGGGCAGUGACAGAUAGAUGUGUGAGCCGACAGGAGACAUGAGCUUCACAGUGCUUCUGGAUGAGUUCCAGCAGGUUACCUUCUUUGGUCCUCUAGACAAUUGAGAUGGCUAGUGGUGGCUGCUUGAAAUUAUUUGUUUGGUGCUGCGAGCUUAUACAGCUGAGGUUUUUGGAUUUUGGAAUUGCAGAUAAUGGACGGUGGGCUUGAAAAAUAGUGUCACAUAUUCUAGGAUGAAGGGAGCUGUGAGAGGGGUGGAGGAAGAGAUUAUUGCCUGAUGAUGAACUUUGAGAGACUGCUUUUGAGUUUUCUUACUUUAUUGCUGUGUUACAAACUGUCAGAUACUACUCGUUGUGUUACAAAGUUAACAAUGAAAAUGUUAUUGUCUGGUCUAUUCAAUUCACCUACUAAUAGAAUAAAAAUUAUUGCAGA